AGCGAACGCUGGCGGCAGGCUUAACACAUGCAAGUCGAGCGCCCGGAGCAAUCCGGGAGCGGCAGACGGGAGAGUAACACGUGGGAACGUACCCUUUGGUUCGGAAUAAUCCAGGGAAACUUGGACUAAUACCGGAUAAGCCCUUACGGGGAAAGGAUUUAUCGCCAGAGGAUCGGCCCGCGUCUGAUUAGCUUGUUGGUGAGGUAACGGCUCACCAAGGCGACGAUCAGUAGCUGGUCUGAGAGGAUGAUCAGCCUCACUGGGAC
This 266-nucleotide ribosomal RNA is filed under the name uncultured bacterium. RNAcentral's name for it is "partial 16S ribosomal RNA". It matches the Rfam family "Bacterial small subunit ribosomal RNA", at positions 29 to 319 of the family's 1533-position model. The record is from RNAcentral.